AUUGAACGCUGGCGGCAUGCCUAACACAUGCAAGUCGAGCGGUUGAGGUAGCUUGCUACCGAUGCAGCGGCGAACGGGUGAGUAAUACAUGGGAAUCUGCCUGGUAGUGGGGCACAACGUCUCGAAAGGGACGCUAAUACCGCAUACGCCCUACGGGGGAAAGGGGGGGAUCUUCGGACCUCUCGCUAUCAGAUGAGCCCAUGUCAGAUUAGCUAGUUGGUAGGGUAAAGGCCUACCAAGGCGACGAUCUGUAACUGGUCUGAGAGGAUGAUCAGUCACACUGGAACUGAGACACGGUCCAGACUCCUACGGGAGGCAGCAGUGGGGAAUAUUGGACAAUGGGCGCAAGCCUGAUCCAGCCAUGCCGCGUGUGUGAAGAAGGCCUUAGGGUUGUAAAGCACUUUCAGUGGGGAGAAAGGUUAUUCACCUAAUACGUGAGUAAAUUGAUGUUACCCACAGAAGAAGCACCGGCUAACUCCGUGCCAGCCGCCGCGGUAA
Molecule: ribosomal RNA, 498 nt
Filed under: uncultured bacterium
Lineage: Bacteria
Description: partial 16S ribosomal RNA
Rfam family: Bacterial small subunit ribosomal RNA
Source: RNAcentral